UUUAAGUGCCUUGAUCAAGGGCACAACGGCAGGAGAUGGUAGGCCUACAUGGGAUCAGACACUGCAGCCUUCCAGUGUCAAAAAUGCUUACUAUUUCAUGUAGGGUAUAAUAAUGGUUAAAAGUCAAGGAGAAGUCAUUGAAAAUGUUUAUGAACCCCUUAACAGUGAAKAACUAGAGRUCUCUAUAGCAUAAUGUCAUUUUAGAAUUUCUGUAAAUAUAGUCUUUAAUGGACUGACUUGGAAAAAGACAGCUCCUSCACUUCUUUCAUCCAAAAUCAAGCACUGACUACAACCAGUUAGCAAGUUCAAAAUGUCAGUAUGUGUUCACACUCAGAUUACAAGGGGUUAAUGCCGCAUUCAAAACAACUGGGAACUCAGGAAAUCUUCGACUUCAGUGCGUUCAAAACAACUGGGAACUCAGGGAAAAGAGAGCUCCGAUUGSGGAAAAAUCUUUUUGAACAGUCAUCCGACUCGGUAUUCCAAGUCGGAAACUCGGGUAUCUUUCUUGAGCUCCGACCUGAAGAUCACUGAUGUCAUGAUUUGAUCUCGUUUUUGUCCGAGUUCCCAGUUGUCUUGAAAGCACCAUAUUUUGACACCAGUGGAUGACUCGGGGGAUGACGUCAGGUAACAUGUCUGCCCCGGUUGAGGCAAUGCUGUCAUAAGCCAAUUUUGUGGGGAUUGGUGUAAAAACAUUAUUAUUCUGUAAUACAAUAGAUACAGCAUGUAAAUAUGCUAUUUCUGUUUGUUAUUUGUAAUAAAAUAGCAAAAAUGUAUUAAAAAAACUGUUUUUGCUGUUUCAUUAUGUGUUUAGAUUGAUUUUUAUAAAUUUCAGAAUAAGGCUGUAACGUAACAAAAUGUGGAAAAAGAGAAGGGGUCUGAAUACUUAAUGAAUGCACUGUAGAUAUGCAAGCUAGCUGACCCCGUUUUGUUGGUACAUAAUUUCAUGUUAAUGUAUUGCACUAUGCAACGCACUAGCUACCUAAUGUUUUCUGUCUUUGUCAAUCACUUCAAAUCACGUUGCUAACUAUAGUUCAUUUAGGGGGAGUUAAUCUAAAUGUGUGAUAUCCAUGAUCACCUGUUUGUUUCUCAGGACCUGUGGAACUGAUAUGCUGCACAAUCACGAUAAGGUGAGUAUGUGGCCUGGCAGGAAACACUUCAUCCAAUACAGCUUGUACAAUACAUGGCACACUAUUCUGUGAGUUGUGGAAGCUGUCUUGUUUCUUACCCUGUACGUAAACCACAAUCUGUCUAUCUCAUAGAAUGAGAAGUACUACUAGGGUAUUAGUGCUGCUGUGAGCAGAGUGAAGGCAUGGGGGGAGAAAGUCAUAAUUCUGGACAUUGGCACUGGAACAGGACUGCUUUCCAUGAUGGCUGUCACAGCUGGUGCUGGCUACUGCCAUGCUGUGGAGGUUUUCAAGCCCAUGRCAGAUGCUGCUCUCCGAACGGUGAAGAUAAAUGGCUUCUCCGACAAUUUCAAGAUCAUCAAUACACAAGUGACAGUUCGACCAAAUGGAGACAUGCAGACUCGAGCCAAAGUCCUCGUCACAGAGCUGUUUGACACAGAACUGAUUGGAGAGGGAGCCUUACCCCUAUGAACACGCUCAUCCCGAGUGGCGCAGCGGUCUAAGGCAUUGCAUCUCAGUGCUAGAGGCGUCACUACAGACCCUGGUUCGAUUC
This is a non-coding RNA of Salvelinus sp. IW2-2015, 1677 nucleotides long. The record is from RefSeq and is a predicted model, not a curated record. Lineage: Eukaryota; Metazoa; Chordata; Actinopteri; Salmoniformes; Salmonidae.